RNAcentral lists this transfer RNA (69 nucleotides) under Sangariola fortunei. Its description in RNAcentral is "tRNA-Met". The record is from RNAcentral. Lineage: Eukaryota; Metazoa; Arthropoda; Insecta; Coleoptera; Chrysomelidae.
AAAAAGAUAAGCUAAUUUAAGCUAUUGGGUUCAUACCCCACCUAUAAAGAUCCCCCCCUUUUCUUUUUA